GACGAACGCUGGCGGCGUGCCUAAUACAUGCAAGUAGAACGCUGAAGGAGGAGCUUGCUCUUCUGGAUGAGUUGCGAACGGGUGAGUAACGCGUAGGUAACCUGCCGGGUAGCGGGGGAUAACUAUUGGAAACGAUAGAUAAUACCGCAUAAGAGUAGAUGUGGCAUGACAUUGGCUAAAAAGUUGCAAGUGGAUCACUACCAGAUGGACCUUCGUUGUAUUAGCUAGUUGGGGGGGUAACGGCUCACCAAGGCGACGAUGCAUAGCCGACCUGAGAGGGGGAUCCGCCACACUGGGAGUGUGCGGCGGCCCUGGCUCCUACGGGAGGCAGCAGUAGGGACUCUUCGGCGCUGGGCGGAAGUCUGACCGAGCAACGCCGCGUGGGUGCAGAAGGGUUUCGGAUCGUAAAGCUCUGUUGUGAGUGAAGACCGAGUGUGAGAGUGGAAAGUUCACACUGUGACGGUAUCUUACCAGAAAGCGACGGCUAACUACGUG
This 495-nucleotide ribosomal RNA is filed under the name uncultured bacterium. RNAcentral describes it as "partial 16S ribosomal RNA". It matches the Rfam family "Bacterial small subunit ribosomal RNA", at positions 28 to 507 of the family's 1533-position model. The record is from RNAcentral.